CUUGAUGUGUAGGAUAGGUGGGAGGCUUUGAAGUGUGGACGCCAGUCUGCAUGGAGCCGACCUUGAAAUACCACCCUUUAAUGUUUGAUGUUCUAACGUUGACCCGUAAUCCGGGUUGCGGACAGUGUCUGGUGGGUAGUUUGACUGGGGCGGUCUCCUCCUAAAGAGUAACGGAGGAGCACGAAGGUUGGCUAAUCCUGGUCGGACAUCAGGAGGUUAGUGCAAUGGCAUAAGCCAGCUUGACUGCGAGCGUGACGGCGCGAGCAGGUGCGAAAGCAGGUCAUAGUGAUCCGGUGGUUCUGAAUGGAAGGGCCAUCGCUCAACGGAUAAAAGGUACUCCGGGGAUAACAGGCUGAUACCGCCCAAGAGUUCAUAUCGACGGCGGUGUUUGGCACCUCGAUGUCGGCUCAUCACAUCCUGGGGCUGAAGUAGGUCCCAAGGGUAUGGCUGUUCGCCAUUUAAAGUGGUACGCGAGCUGGGUUUAGAACGUCGUGAGACAGUUCGGUCCCUAUCUGCCGUGGGCGCUGGAGAACUGAGGGGGGCUGCUCCUAGUACGAGAGGACCGGAGUGGACGCAUCACUGGUGUUCGGGUUGUCAUGCCAAUGGCACUGCCCGGUAGCUAAAUGCGGAAGAGAUAAGUGCUGAAAGCAUCUAAGCACGAAACUUGCCCCGAGAUGAGUUCUCCCUGACUCCUUGAGAGUCCUGAAGGAACGUUGAAGACGACGACGUUGAUAGGCCGGGUGUGUAAGCGCAGCGAUGCGUUGAGCUAACCGGUACUAAUGAACCGUGAGG
This 792-nucleotide ribosomal RNA is filed under the name Escherichia coli. RNAcentral's name for it is "partial 23S ribosomal RNA". It matches the Rfam family "Bacterial large subunit ribosomal RNA", at positions 2130 to 2916 of the family's 2925-position model. The record is from RNAcentral. Lineage: Bacteria; Pseudomonadati; Pseudomonadota; Gammaproteobacteria; Enterobacterales; Enterobacteriaceae.